GCAAGUCGAGGGGUAACAGGGAGCUUGCCCCGAUGACGACCGGCGCACGGGUGCGUAACGCGUAUAGAACCUACCUUUUACAAAGGGAUAGCCUUUAGAAAUUAAGAUUAAUACCUUAUAGUAUUAAAGAUUCGCAUGAAUUUUUAAUUAAAGAUUUAUCGGUAAAAGAUGGCUAUGCGUCCUAUUAGCUAGAUGGUAAGGUAACGGCUUACCAUGGCAACGAUAGGUACGGGGCCUAAGAGGAAGAUC
RNAcentral lists this ribosomal RNA (249 nucleotides) under uncultured bacterium. RNAcentral's name for it is "partial 16S ribosomal RNA". It matches the Rfam family "Bacterial small subunit ribosomal RNA", at positions 57 to 305 of the family's 1533-position model. The record is from RNAcentral.